This 309-nucleotide ribosomal RNA is filed under the name uncultured eukaryote. RNAcentral describes it as "partial large subunit ribosomal RNA". It matches the Rfam family "Eukaryotic large subunit ribosomal RNA", at positions 40 to 350 of the family's 3401-position model. The record is from RNAcentral.
AUAUCACUAAGCGGAGGAAAAGAAAUUAACGAAGAUUGCCUCAGUAGCGGCGAGCGAAGUGGCAAAAGCUCAAGUUAAAUCUGUGGUCUUCGACCAUCGAAUUGUAAUCUAAAGGGGUUAACAAAAGGGAAAGUUGAGGCAUAAGUUGCUUGGAACAGCACGCCAAAGAGGGUGAUAGCCCCGUAUUUGGCCUCCACUAACCUGAAUGUUGGCUCUCAAAGAGUCGGGUUGUUUGGGAUUGCAGCCCUAAAUGGGAGGUAAACUUCUUCUAAGGCUAAAUAUUGAUGGGAGACCGAUAGCGCACAAGUA